Long non-coding RNA from Dermochelys coriacea (leatherback sea turtle), 900 nucleotides. RefSeq lists it as uncharacterized. The record is from RefSeq and is a predicted model, not a curated record. Lineage: Eukaryota; Metazoa; Chordata; Testudines; Dermochelyidae. The transcript has 3 exons.
GCUUGUCCCAGCACAGCAUUAAUGAAGAAACAAGGCCAGAGCUGUAUGCUGUGAAAGUGAUAAAACCUGAUCUGGUCACAGAGAUCCGCCGCUUUCGAUCUCCUGGUUUCUACACCCUGCCCGGCUAGCAGGGCAUUGUGCAGCACCCUUUCCAGCCCACCUGGGUGCGGGAGAUCGAGGAGGAGGGUAAGGGACCGACUAUCAGUGAGCAUCUGCCAUCCAGCUCCAUCCCAUCUAGAGCAACAGCAGCAGCAAUUAUCCUUUCUCCUUCUCUGCCUGGGGCAGAGACCCCCAGUGCCCAGCUGGAGGAGGUGGAGGUGGAGGAGAAGGAUGUGUCCCCAGAACAAGCCACCAUCAGGGUCAUCCAGCAGCACCUCCAGAGGUACAAAAAUCCCCCAUCUGCACUGCCACCGAGUCGGUCCUGCCCCUUGUUCCAUCCCCACCUAUACAGGGGGGUCUUGUCCCAGAGAAACCAUCACCCCUAAUGGGGGGCACUUCUCCUCUGUUAUCUGAGACUCCAAAGUAGGGGUGUUUGUCCCACAUAGGCCAAGGUGUCCUCUCCCCACAGACACUGUCCCAGUUACAACCCCUGUCUGUACAGGUCGACACUGUGGUUUUGGGAAGCGGGGGUGCUUUCCUGGUCCAACCCCAUGGAGGUUCUGAAUCCUGAAGCUGCUUUGGGUGGGGCGGGAAGGUCCCUACCUAACAGGCUCCCUCUCUCUCUUCCCCCAAUCCCACUCAUAGUGGGUGCAGGACAGGGCCAAAGAGCUCCGCUUUCUCCAUGCUGUCCCGAGUCUGUGCUUCUCGGCACAGAGGCAGGGGCAGGACACCCUGGAACGCCACUUCUCGAAAGUGGCCCUUGUGGAGAGCAUUGUGGUUAGUGGGACCCCGUGCCUGGCC